UACGGGGGGGGCAAGCGUUGUUCGGAAUUAUUGGGCGUAAAGGGUGCGUAGGCGGUCUGACACGUCUGAUGUGAAAUCUAUGGGCUCAACCCAUAGUCUGCAUCGGAAACUGUCGGGCUUGAGUAUGGGAGAGGUGAGUGGAAUUUCCGGUGUAGCGGUGAAAUGCGUAGAUAUUCGCAAGAACACCAGUGGCGAAGGCGGCUCACUGGCCCGGUACUGACGCUGAGGUGCGAAAGCGUGGGGAGCAAACAGG
Molecule: ribosomal RNA, 253 nt
Filed under: uncultured bacterium
Lineage: Bacteria
Description: partial 16S ribosomal RNA
Rfam family: Bacterial small subunit ribosomal RNA
Source: RNAcentral